AUGAACGCUGGCGGCGUGCCUAAUACAUGCAAGUCGAGCGAACAGAUGAGGAGCUUGCUCCUCUGACGUUAGCGGCGGACGGGUGAGUAACACGUGGAUAACCUACCUAUAAGACUGGGAUAACUUCGGGAAACCGGAGCUAAUACCGGAUAAUAUAUUGAACCGCAUGGUUCAAUAGUGAAAGACGGUUUUGCUGUCACUUAUAGAUGGAUCCGCGCCGCAUUAGCUAGUUGGUAAGGUAACGGCUUACCAAGGCAACGAUGCGUAGCCGACCUGAGGGGGUGAUCGGCCACACUGGAACUGAGACACGGUCCAGACUCCUACGGGAGGCAGCAGUAGGGAAUCUUCCGCAAUGGGCGAAAGCCUGACGGAGCAACGCCGCGUGAGUGAUGAAGGUCUUCGGAUCGUAAAACUCUGUUAUUAGGGAAGAACAAAUGUGUAAGUAACUAUGCACGUCUUGACGGUACCUAAUCAGAAAGCCACGGCUAACUACGUG
This 496-nucleotide ribosomal RNA is filed under the name uncultured bacterium. RNAcentral describes it as "partial 16S ribosomal RNA". It matches the Rfam family "Bacterial small subunit ribosomal RNA", at positions 29 to 507 of the family's 1533-position model. The record is from RNAcentral.